This is a transfer RNA of Ovis aries (sheep), 72 nucleotides long. It matches the Rfam family "tRNA". Rfam says of the family: Transfer RNA (tRNA) molecules are approximately 80 nucleotides in length. NCBI's taxonomy places the organism in Eukaryota, Metazoa, Chordata, Mammalia, Artiodactyla, Bovidae. The record is from Rfam.
UCCCUGGUGGCUCAGAGGGUAAAAUGUCUGCCUACAAUGCAGGAGACCUGGGUUCAAUCCCUGGCUUGGGAC